GGGUUCUUGGGUAGGGAUAGACAUGCUAGUCAGCGCUCGCCAGCCAAAGGCAAGUGCGGCGUACAGCUCAGUAACACGUGGCUAACCUGCCCUUGGGACAAGGACACCCCCGGGAAACUGGGGCUAAUCCUUGAUAGGUGAAGAAUUCUGGAAUGAAUCUUCGCCCAAAAGAAGCUUACGCCAUGCUCGUAGGCUCCGCCCAAGGAUGGGGCCGCGACCGAUCAGGUAGUUGGUGAGGCAACGGCUCACCAAGCCUUUUACCGGUGCGGGCCGUGGGAGCGGGAGCCCGGAGAUGGGCACUGAGACAAGGGCCCAGGCCCUACGGGGCGCAGCAGUCGCGAAAACUUUGCAAUACACGAAAGUGUGACAGGGCUAUCCCGAGUGCCAUCCGCUGAGGAAGGCUUUUACCCAGUGUAGAAAGCUGGGGGAAUAAGGAGAGGGCAAGACUGGUGUCAGCCGCCGCGGUAAUACCAGCUCUCCGAGUGGUGUGGAUGUUUAUUGGGCCUAAAGCAUCCGUAGCUGGCCAAGUUAGUCCCCUGUUAAACCCAACGAAUUAAUCGUUGGAUUGCGGGGGAUACUGCUCGGCUAGGGGACGAGAGAGGCCGACGGUAUUCUCGGGGUAGGGGUGAAAUCCUAUAAUCCCGGGAAGACCACCAGUGGCGAAGGCUGUCGGCUAGAACGCGCCCGACGGUGAGGGAUGAAAGCUGGGGGAGCGAACCGGAUUAGAUACCCGGGUAGUCCCAGCUGUAAACGAUGCAGACUAGGUGUUUGGACGGCCACGUGCCGUUCUAGUGCCGCAGGGAAGCUGUUAAGUCUGCCGCCUGGGGAGUACGAUCGCAAGAUUGAAACUUAAAGGAAUUGGCGGGGGAGCACCACAAGGGGUGAAGCUUGCGGUUUAAUUGGAGUCAACGCCGGG
Molecule: ribosomal RNA, 916 nt
Filed under: uncultured archaeon
Lineage: Archaea
Description: bacterial SSU rRNA
Rfam family: Archaeal small subunit ribosomal RNA
Source: RNAcentral